ACGGGUGAGUAACGCGUGGGAACAUACCUUUUGGUUCGGAACAACACAGGGAAACUUGUGCUAAUACCGGAUAAGCCCUUAGGGGGAAAGAUUUAUCGCCGAAAGAUUGGCCCGCGUCUGAUUAGCUAGUUGGUGAGGUAACGGCUCACCAAGGCGACGAUCAGUAGCUGGUCUGAGAGGAUGAUCAGCCACAUUGGGACUGAGACACGGCCCAAACUCCUACGGGAGGCAGCAGUGGGGAAUAUUGGACAAUGGGCGCAAGCCUGAUCCAGCCAUGCCGCGUGAGUGAUGAAGGCCCUAGGGUUGUAAAGCUCUUUUGUGCGGGAAGAUAAUGACGGUACCGCAAGAAUAAGCCCCGGCUAACUUCGUGCCAGCAGCCGCGGUAAUACGAAGGGGGCUAGCGUUGCUCGGAAUCACUGGGCGUAAAGGGUGCGUAGGCGGGUUCUUAAGUCAGAGGUGAAAUCCUGGAGCUCAACUCCAGAACUGCCUUUGAUACUGAGAGUCUUGAGUUCGGGAGAGGUGAGUGGAACUGCGAGUGUAGAGGUGAAAUUCGUAGA
RNAcentral lists this ribosomal RNA (557 nucleotides) under uncultured Bradyrhizobiaceae bacterium. RNAcentral describes it as "bacterial SSU rRNA". It matches the Rfam family "Bacterial small subunit ribosomal RNA", at positions 102 to 694 of the family's 1533-position model. Lineage: Bacteria; Pseudomonadati; Pseudomonadota; Alphaproteobacteria; Hyphomicrobiales; Nitrobacteraceae. The record is from RNAcentral.